RNAcentral lists this transfer RNA (101 nucleotides) under Fusarium oxysporum f. sp. pisi HDV247. RNAcentral describes it as "tRNA-Leu". Lineage: Eukaryota; Fungi; Ascomycota; Sordariomycetes; Hypocreales; Nectriaceae. The record is from RNAcentral.
GUGGCGUGUGGUGUAGUUGGUAAAAUCCAACAAUUAAGAGUCUCAUUGCCUCUCGGGCUGGUCACCUCUUGACGUCCUGGGUUCGAUUCCCGGCACCUACG